RNAcentral lists this microRNA precursor (66 nucleotides) under Marmota monax (woodchuck). The record is from RNAcentral. Lineage: Eukaryota; Metazoa; Chordata; Mammalia; Rodentia; Sciuridae.
UGUAUGUAUAUGUAUGUGUGUGUGUGUGUGUGUACACACACACACACACACACAUACACAUACACA